RNAcentral lists this transfer RNA (98 nucleotides) under Ceratocystis platani. It matches the Rfam family "tRNA". Rfam says of the family: Transfer RNA (tRNA) molecules are approximately 80 nucleotides in length. Their secondary structure includes four short double-helical elements and three loops (D, anti-codon, and T loops). The record is from Rfam by way of RNAcentral. Lineage: Eukaryota; Fungi; Ascomycota; Sordariomycetes; Microascales; Ceratocystidaceae.
GGGGACAUGGUCUAGUGGUAUGACGGAUCCUUAGCAUGUGAGAAGCUCCGACUUCUACAGCUUGGAUCAGGUCCGGGGUUCGAUUCCCCGUGUCUCCA